GUCACCAUUGAAGUAAUUUGAAAUGACCGACCGUUCAAGUAAAUGUUCAAUAUACAUUUAUGAAUAAUAAAUAACCGGGUGAUAAAUAGGGUAGUUUUGUCUUUAAACGUGACGAGGAUUAAUGAGAAAGAGGACUGAUGAGAGUCGUGAGUUGGACGAGAGUUUUCUCAACUCUCAUGCCUCAAUCAAACGAACAAGAGUUGCAUGAGAAUGAUGAAAGUGGGCGGUCCAACGCGAGCGAGAG
Non-coding RNA from Paramuricea clavata, 244 nucleotides. The record is from the annotation of a GenBank genome assembly. Lineage: Eukaryota; Metazoa; Cnidaria; Anthozoa; Malacalcyonacea; Plexauridae.